RNAcentral lists this long non-coding RNA (238 nucleotides) under Solanum tuberosum (potato). RNAcentral's name for it is "long non-coding RNA (STUB_LNC002033)". Lineage: Eukaryota; Viridiplantae; Streptophyta; Magnoliopsida; Solanales; Solanaceae. The record is from RNAcentral.
UUAGAUUCACCAGAUGUUUGAUCAUUCGCUGAUAGAUUUAGAUUUUUUUUCUUCUAAUGAAGCUUUAAUUUGGCGUUUCGUUUAUGAAAGGGAAAGUACGUAGUACUGAAAUUGUUCUCGAGCGAUUUGGAUUUUAGGAUGGGUUUUGAAUCUGAACGUUUUAUAUGUGAUUAUGCUGUAGAUACCGAUAACUAACUAGUAUUACAAGUUCUCAGUUAUUCUCUGUUCCACAUGUGUG